This is a non-coding RNA of Pimephales promelas (fathead minnow), 725 nucleotides long. The record is from RefSeq and is a predicted model, not a curated record. Lineage: Eukaryota; Metazoa; Chordata; Actinopteri; Cypriniformes; Leuciscidae.
GACAGAAGGUCAGUCUUGCAGCCUUAAAUAUAGAGAGAAAAAAUAAAUAAAUACAUUACAUAUCAUUCUUAAUAAUCACUUUCUUUUUUUUUUAGUUUGCAGAAUGUGUCUUAAAUAAUGAGUUGCUUCACUUUUCCACAUCUGAGGAAAGUGUGGCUGCCCUGAGAAGUAAAAUUGCUGCUUGUGUCUUGCAGCACACUGAUAACCUGAAGGACCUGUGCCAUCUAUGUGGGGACAAAAACAAUGGCAAAAAAGUGACUAACUGGAUUGGCUGUGAUAUGUGCCCACGCUGGUUUCACUGCAGAUGUGUUCAACGUACAAGAAAAAACAAAACAUACAUCUGCCCAGUUUGUCAACCUUAAUUGUGUCUUGGUUUUUGUACGCAUCACCACUUUCCCCUUGCCUGAAAGUCUUUUUUUUUUGGCUGCUUCUAAACCUUUAAAGCCCUUUCUGAUUUUUUAAUGGUUUUUUCUUUUUUGUUUUUGCCUAUUUCCUGUUAACAUAUCUCAACUCAGCUUGAUCACCCGGUUUUUGACCCCCUGCUCUCGUCCUGGAAUAUUGCCUUUGCUUCAUCCUUCAAAUUGUUGGUCCGCUACUGAUUUUGACCCCAGCCUGUUCUUUGGAUUUUGCCUCUGUCUCGCCCUCUUACUCGGCUAUCAAUAAUUUUAUGUUCUUUUUUAUUGUUUUCAUUCAACGUUUUGACAAUAAAUCCUGUUCUAAAUUGA